Long non-coding RNA from Nicrophorus vespilloides, 1156 nucleotides. RefSeq lists it as uncharacterized. The record is from RefSeq and is a predicted model, not a curated record. The transcript is spliced from 3 exons. Lineage: Eukaryota; Metazoa; Arthropoda; Insecta; Coleoptera; Silphidae.
GUCUUGUCUUGUACUGAUAUCUUAUAUAAAAACGGUGCGAAAUACGGUCCUAUACUGUUAAUUGGUUCCGUAUAUCUGAGCCCGGUUCUGAUAAAAAGAAAACAUUAUAAAUUAAAAAAGCGCCAGACGAGUAUCGCGUCAUUUGCUCAUUCAGUUGUAUAGUGAGAAGUAAGCAGGGUUUAUACGCCGUUCAAUAUAGAUUUUUUUUAAGCAAAUUUUAUCAAAUAAAAAUAUAACUGUUUUGUGCUGUAUUUGUGUUACUAGUCAAAUUAAAUAAAAUGAAAUUAGUUUGGUACUGCAUCUGUUUUAUUGCGUUGUUCCUGGUGGAAACAGAAGUGGAAGCAAAUAAGGUAUGCUGGUUAGACAAAGAUUGCAGAGCCAACGGCUUUUGUUUUGGCCGAGACAGGGGGACAUCUGGAGUAUGCAAAUGCAUAGAGGAAUACGUUUUAAUAAAUCCCAGGGACUAUAAAUGUGUAAAACCUGCAAGCGCGUUGGAUGUCCAAAAUUCAUGCGAGGAUUCACUUCAGUGUGCAUCAAUUUCAAGUAAUACUCAAUGCAGCAAUGGGAAAUGUAUUUGUGUCAAAGGUUCCCGGAAAUCUGGGAAUAACUGUGUGGGAAAUAAUGGAUCUCAACUUCAUUGGUAUCCUUUUCAAAUCCUAAGCGCAAUUGCGCUAUUUCUCAUUGUAUACAAUAAUAAGUAAACGAAUUAGAUACUCAACUAAAGUUUUCAAAUUGCGAUAUGAUAUUGACAUGUAAUAUUCUUAAUACUUAGAGUGUUUUCUAUUAAAUCUAAAUGUAUUAUACUUCCAUUUACAUAUAUCAUUAUUUAAAUAUUAAUCAUAGCCAUUAACUCUGAACGAUAGUGUAUCGCAAAAAAUGUUUACUUCCUAUAUGGAAUUUCCGUAUCCUUUUUAAAAUUAAUAAUCGACAGAACAACAAACACAAUGGGUUUAUUCAUUUAACGGAUAGCCACAAUAUAAAUUAUUCUGUUAAUAAUCAAAACCGGAGUUGAGAUACUCUGCAUUGACCUUUAAGUCUUAAAAUAAACUUAUCAUGUGGAAUGCGUGCAAGUAUACAUUUAAGUUCAUUUAUUUAUUAUUUAGCGACCAAUUUAUUUAUAAUCCACUUUAUAAUAAAAAAGCCUUCAAUUUAAAAC